This is a long non-coding RNA of Labrus mixtus (cuckoo wrasse), 487 nucleotides long. RefSeq lists it as uncharacterized. NCBI's taxonomy places the organism in Eukaryota, Metazoa, Chordata, Actinopteri, Labriformes, Labridae. The transcript has 2 exons. The record is from RefSeq and is a predicted model, not a curated record.
CCGCCCUGUGGUUGCCUCCCUGCUCCACAAUUUGCUUUGCAUCUCCAUCGGCUGCCGUGGAGGGCACACGCUCAAACUGAAUAAGAGACAAGAGAGUGUCUGGGCGUGUUCGUGUGUGUGUGUGUGUGUGUGUGUGUGUGUGUGUGUGUGUCUGCGUGCUGUAAAUGUAUGACUGUUGCUGCUUGUGGAAAUUUGGUGUGCGUGAUGAAGUGUGUAAUGUGUCUGCAUAUUGCAGCUCAGGCUCACUGGUGGAAGCCUUGAGGCCUUGCCUGACACAGCUUCAGGGCACAGAGAGGAAGGUGAUUAUCUCAUAGCUGCCAGCCAUUCAGCUCAGAUAAAGACAAAAAGUAACUCCAGCUAACUAGGCGUAAAGAUUGUAAAAGUGGAGACACGCACAUGAACUCGGAUGCUAUUGUCUCUAUUCUAAAACUUGUAGAUGCAUUAAAGUAGACUCAAGUACAUUUGCACUCCAGUUUUUUUUUUUUUU